CCUACGGGUGGCAGCAGUGGGGAAUAUUGGACAAUGGGGGAAACUCUGAACCAGCGACGCCGCGUGAGUGAAGAAGGAUUUAGGUAGGUAAAGCUGUAUUUGCAGGAAGGAAAAUGCAGGUACCUGAAUAAGAAGCCACGGCUAACUAGGUGCAAGCGGCGGCGGUAAUACGUAGGGAGCAAGCGUUAUACGGAUUUACUGGGCGUAAAGGGAGCGUAGACGGCAGGGCAAGUCUGGAGUGAAACGCCGGGGUCCAACCCCGGAACUGCUCUGGAAACUGUGCGGCUGGAGUGCAGGAGCGGUAGGCGGAAUGCCUGGUGUAGCGGUGAAAUGCGUAGAUAUCGGGAGGAACACCGGCGGCGAAGGCGGCUUACUGGCCUGUAUCUGACGUUGAGGCUCGAAGGCGUGGGGAGCAAACAGGAUUAGAUACCCGGGUAGUC
RNAcentral lists this ribosomal RNA (440 nucleotides) under uncultured bacterium. Its description in RNAcentral is "partial 16S ribosomal RNA". It matches the Rfam family "Bacterial small subunit ribosomal RNA", at positions 338 to 795 of the family's 1533-position model. The record is from RNAcentral.